This 382-nucleotide ribosomal RNA is filed under the name uncultured organism. RNAcentral's name for it is "bacterial SSU rRNA". It matches the Rfam family "Bacterial small subunit ribosomal RNA", at positions 45 to 433 of the family's 1533-position model. The record is from RNAcentral.
UGCCUUACACAUGCAAGUCGAACGGUAGAGGGGCAACCCUUAAGAGUGGCGAACGGGUGAGUAAUGCAUCGGAACGUGCCCAGUCGUGGGGGAUAACGUAGCGAAAGCUACGCUAAUACCGCAUACGACCCGAGGGUGAAAGCGGGGGACUCGCAAGGGCCUCGCGCGAUUGGAGCGGCCGAUGUCAGAUUAGGUAGUUGGUGGGGUAAAGGCCUACCAAGCCUGCGAUCUGUAGCUGGUCUGAGAGGACGACCAGCCACACUGGGACUGAGACACGGCCCAGACUCCUACGGGAGGCAGCAGUGGGGAAUUUUGGACAAUGGGCGAAAGCCUGAUCCAGCCAUGCCGCGUGCGGGAAGAAGGCCUUCGGGUUGUAAACCGC